RNAcentral lists this ribosomal RNA (234 nucleotides) under Triticum aestivum (bread wheat). RNAcentral describes it as "partial small subunit ribosomal RNA". The record is from RNAcentral. Lineage: Eukaryota; Viridiplantae; Streptophyta; Magnoliopsida; Poales; Poaceae.
AUGGAUAUAAGAGAUCUAUCACCGCAGGAGAGGGAUUUGCGAAGAACACUGAAACUGAAGUUGCUCGGCCUUUGCUCUCUGGAGCGAUCAAUUGCGCGGCAAAGAUCCAGAAUCCUCUCCCUCCGGGAGGGCGAUGCAAACACAAGCUUCUUUCAUCAACAUGCUUGCCACCGGCAAAGAAGGAACAUGAUCACGACGAUCCGUAGCGGAGACACCACGGUCAGCACGCACUAG